RNAcentral lists this ribosomal RNA (497 nucleotides) under uncultured bacterium. Its description in RNAcentral is "partial 16S ribosomal RNA". It matches the Rfam family "Bacterial small subunit ribosomal RNA", at positions 28 to 507 of the family's 1533-position model. The record is from RNAcentral.
GAUGAACGCUGGCGGCGUGCCUAAUACAUGCAAGUCGAGCGAACGGACGAGAAGCUUGCUUCUCUGAUGUUAGCGGCGGACGGGUAAGUAACACGUGGAUAACCUACCUAUAAGACUGGGAUAACUUCGGGAAACCGGAGCUAAUACCGGAUAAUAUUUUGAACCGCAUGGUUCAAAAGUGAAAGACGGUCUUGCUGUCACUUAUAGAUGGAUCCGCGCUGCAUUAGCUAGUUGGUAAGGUAACGGCUUACCAAGACAACGAUGCAUAGCCGACCUGAGAGGGUGAUCGGCCACACUGGAACUGAGACACGGUCCAGACUCCUACGGGAGGCAGCAGUAGGGAAUCUUCCGCAAUGGGCGAAAGCCUGACGGAGCAACGCCGCGUGAGUGAUGAAGGUCUUCGGAUCGUAAAACUCUGUUAUUAGGGAAGAACAUAUGUGUAAGUAACUGUGCACAUCUUGACGGUACCUAAUCAGAAAGCCACGGCUAACUACGUG